This 259-nucleotide unclassified non-coding RNA is filed under the name Glomeraceae sp. RNAcentral's name for it is "partial contains 5.8S ribosomal RNA and internal transcribed spacer 2". The stretch from base 1 to 65 matches the Rfam family "5.8S ribosomal RNA", at positions 84 to 154 of the family's 154-position model. The record is from RNAcentral. Lineage: Eukaryota; Fungi; Glomeromycota; Glomeromycetes; Glomerales; Glomeraceae.
GUGAAUCAUCGAAUUUUUGAACGCAAAUUGCACUCUCUUCGGAGAGUAUGCCUGUUUGAGGGUCAGCCUAUAUAAAAUCGACAUCGUUGUUGUUUCGCGGUGGCGUUCGUCGGAAACUGGGUUAUCUUAAAUCCUUUUGGGUUUUAAGCGACUAAAAAUUUUCUGUUUUUUUCCAUGAACGUAUCUAAGUUUUAUUGCUUUACACGUUUAAGGUAUCGUUUUUUAUUAGACGUGACCAUCAUAUCGGAUCGCGUUCAUA